Molecule: ribosomal RNA, 492 nt
Filed under: uncultured bacterium
Lineage: Bacteria
Description: partial 16S ribosomal RNA
Rfam family: Bacterial small subunit ribosomal RNA
Source: RNAcentral
AGUGAACGCUGGCGGUAGGCCUAACACAUGCAAGUCGAACGGCAGCACAGUAAGAGCUUGCUCUUACGGGUGGCGAGUGGCGGACGGGUGAGGCAUACAUCGGAAUCUACUUUUUCGUGGGGGAUAACGUAGGGAAACUUACGCUAAUACCGCAUACGACCUACGGGUGAAAGCAGGAGAUCUUCGCGCCUUGCGCGACUGAAUUAGCCGAUGUCGGAUUAGCUAGUUGGCGGGGUAAAGGCCCACCAAGGCGACGAUCCGUAGCUGGUCUGAGAGGAUGAUCAGCCACACUGGAACUGAGACACGGUCCAGACUCCUACGGGAGGCAGCAGUGGGGAAUAUUGGACAAUGGGCGAAAGCCUGAUCCAGCAAUACCGCGUGGGUGAAGAAGGCCUUCGGGUUGUAAAGCCCUUUUGUUGGGAAAGAAAAGCAGCAGGUUAAUACCCCGCUGUUCUGACGGUACCCAAAGAAUAAGCACCGGCUAACUUCGUG